Molecule: ribosomal RNA, 254 nt
Filed under: uncultured bacterium
Lineage: Bacteria
Description: partial 16S ribosomal RNA
Rfam family: Bacterial small subunit ribosomal RNA
Source: RNAcentral
UAGCGUAGGGGGCAAGCGUUGUCCGGAUUUAUUGGGCGUAAAGAGCGUGUAGGCGGCCAUACAGGUCCGUUGUGAAAACUGGAGGCUUAACCUCCAGACGUCGAUGGAAACCGUAUGGCUAGAGUCCGGAAGAGGAGAGUGGAAUUCCUGGUGUAGCGGUGAAAUGCGCAGAUAUCAGGAAGAACACCCGUGGCGAAGGCGGCUCUCUGGGACGGUACUGACGCUGAGACGCGAAAGCGUGGGGAGCGAACAGG